AAAAUACUCCCUCCGUUUCAAAAUAGAUGACUCAACUUUGUAUUAAAGUUACUUUGUACUAACUUUAGUACAAAGUUGAGUCAUCUAUUUUGAAACGGAGGGAGUAGAUU
Non-coding RNA from Triticum aestivum (bread wheat), 110 nucleotides. Lineage: Eukaryota; Viridiplantae; Streptophyta; Magnoliopsida; Poales; Poaceae. The record is from Rfam.